Molecule: ribosomal RNA, 2361 nt
Filed under: uncultured Intestinimonas sp.
Lineage: Bacteria; Bacillati; Bacillota; Clostridia; Eubacteriales
Description: partial contains 16S ribosomal RNA, 16S-23S ribosomal RNA intergenic spacer, and 23S ribosomal RNA
Rfam family: Bacterial small subunit ribosomal RNA (bases 1-1500)
Source: RNAcentral
GAUGAACGCUGGCGGCAUGCCUAACACAUGCAAGUCGAACGAGAAUCUAUGGAUAGAGGAUUCGUCCAAUUGAAAUAGAGGACAGUGGCGAACGGGUGAGUAAUGCAUGAGCAACCUGCCCUUCAGAGGGGGACAACAGUUGGAAACGACUGCUAAUACCGCAUAACAUUUUGGGAAGGCAUCUUCCUAAAAUCAAAGAUUUAUCGCUGAAGGAUGGGCUCAUGUCUGAUUAGCUAGUUGGCGGGGUAACGGCCCACCAAGGCUGCGAUCAGUAGCCGGUCUGAGAGGAUGAACGGCCACAUUGGGACUGAGAUACGGCCCAGACUCCUACGGGAGGCAGCAGUGGGGAAUAUUGGGCAAUGGGCGCAAGCCUGACCCAGCAAUGCCGCGUGAAGGAAGAAGGCCCUCGGGUUGUAAACUUCUUUUAUCAGGGACGAAGGAUGUGACGGUACCUGAUGAAUAAGCUCCGGCUAACUACGUGCCAGCAGCCGCGGUAAUACGUAGGGAGCAAGCGUUAUCCGGAUUUACUGGGUGUAAAGGGCGCGUAGGCGGGAUGGCAAGUCAGAUGUGAAAUCCAGGGGCUCAACCCCUGAACUGCAUUUGAAACUGUCGUUCUUGAGUACUGGAGAGGUUGACGGAAUUCCUAGUGUAGCGGUGAAAUGCGUAGAUAUUAGGAGGAACACCAGUGGCGAAGGCGGUCAACUGGACAGCAACUGACGCUGAGGCGCGAAAGCGUGGGGAGCAAACAGGAUUAGAUACCCUGGUAGUCCACGCCGUAAACGAUGAAUACUAGGUGUGGGGGGACUGACCCCCUCCGUGCCGCAGUUAACACAAUAAGUAUUCCACCUGGGGAGUACGGCCGCAAGGUUGAAACUCAAAGGAAUUGACGGGGGCCCGCACAAGCAGUGGAUUAUGUGGUUUAAUUCGAAGCAACGCGAAGAACCUUACCAGGGUUUGACAUCCCGGUGACCGGGGCAGAGAUGUCCUUUCCCUUCGGGGCACCGGUGACAGGUGGUGCAUGGUUGUCGUCAGCUCGUGUCGUGAGAUGUUGGGUUAAGUCCCGCAACGAGCGCAACCCUUAUUGUUAGUUGCUACGCAAGAGCACUCUAGCGAGACUGCCGUUGACAAAACGGAGGAAGGUGGGGACGACGUCAAAUCAUCAUGCCCCUUAUAUCCUGGGCUACACACGUAAUACAAUGGCACUUAACAAAGGGAAGCAAUACCGCGAGGUGGAGCAAAUCCCCAAAAAGUGUCCCAGUUCGGACUGCAGUCUGCAACUCGACUGCACGAAGUCGGAAUUGCUAGUAAUCGCGGAUCAGCAUGCCGCGGUGAAUACGUUCCCGGGCCUUGUACACACCGCCCGUCACACCAUGAGAGUCGGGAACACCCGAAGUCCGUAGUCUAACCGCAAGGAGGACGCGGCCGAAGGUGGGCUUGAUAAUUGGGGUGAAGUCGUAACAAGGUAGCCGUUCGAGAACGAGCGGCUGGAUCACCUCCUUUCUAAGGAGAACUGGUCACGUCCUGCAAAGCAGGGCCGUAGAAAAGUGACCAUUAUCCCAGGUCAGACCCUUUUCCUGGUCUUACAUUGUUUAAUUUUGAGGGUAUUCCCCGUGGAGCCAUCCGGCUUCGCGGCGGGAACUCUCGAUUUUUUCUGCACCUUGAAAACUGAACAGAGAGAAAGAAUGCGAAGCAAGGCAACAGAGGGCGUCGCACGAAAGUGUGACAAACAAAAGUAGCGAAGAACGAAAAAUGUGGAACUUUAAUUUAUUAGGGUGAAGCAACAAUUUCAAGAACUUCCGAUGAAGUUGCCUGCAUAAUUCGAAAUGCUAAGAGAACCAAGCAGACCAUGCGGCGCGAGAGCGCUGCGGCACAGGUCAAGCUAGAAAGAGCGCAAGGGGAAUGCCUUGGCAUCAGGAGCCGACGAAGGACGUGACAAGCUGCGAUAAGCCACGGGGAGCCGCAAAUAGGUGUUAAUCCGUGGAUUUCCGAAUGGGGAAACCCGGCACGGCAAUACCGUGUCAACGUGCGUUGAAUCAAAUAGGCGUACGUGGGGAACCGCCUGAACUGAAACAUCUAAGUAGGGCGAGGAAAAGACAUCAACCGAGAUUCCGCAAGUAGUGGCGAGCGAACGCGGAGGAGGCCAAACCACGAGACAUUGUUUUGUGGGGUUCGGACAGCUUUUUAAGACGAUAGGUUAGGAGAACGGCAUGGGAAGGCCGACCAUAGAGGGUGAGAGUCCUGUAUCCGAAAACCGACAAUAUGUAGCUGUAUCCAGAGUACCGCCGGACACGUGAAACCCGGUGGGAACGCGGGUGGACCACCAUCCAAGCCUAAAUACUACCUGAUGACCGAUAGAGAAGC